Molecule: RNA transcript, 747 nt
Organism: Solanum pennellii
Lineage: Eukaryota; Viridiplantae; Streptophyta; Magnoliopsida; Solanales; Solanaceae
Exons: 2
Source: RefSeq, a predicted model, not a curated record
UAUCCAAAAAGGAAAAACCCUGUGUUUUCUAAAGGGUAAAAAAAUACAAAGGGAAAAAAGACUCUUCCUCUGCUAGUGGCAAUGCAAGCUUCUCCAUAUCGAUCGAUAUCUUCAACAAUAUUAUGUCGGUGUUCUUCCUCGCAGCUCUGUCUUCUUCGCAGCUGCUCAGCUUUGUCUUCUUCAUCAAAGAAUUUCCAUAGCAGCUCCUCACAUCUGUCUUCUUCAUCAAAGUAUUUCCAUCGCAGCUGGUCACCAAAGAGGUUAUAGCGCGUUGCAAGAAGUGGAUGGAACAUGUUGAUAAUCGUUUCGAUGAAAUCUACUUAGUUAAAGUGCAAAAGUUUUUUGAUUUUUCUUUUCAAGGCUGCAAGGUGGAGCUUCUUCAAAGACUGAAUUAUUGUCCGCGCUACGUUCAACUCGAGAGGAUAUCAAAUUCUUGAAUGAAGAAAACAGAUCAUUGAAUGAGGAAAACAAUUGUUUGAAUGAUCUCUUGUCUAGCAUAGAACAUAAGAUGAAAGAGAUGAUGAAUAUGAAAGAAUUCUUCGUUACUCAGCAGUCGCAUGUCCCACCUACAAACAUCAUCCGUUUCAAUUGAAUGAUUGUUGCCUUUUAAGCUGACCAAGUUAGUAACAAUAUACCUGACUUAUUAAUUAUUUUUCAUUAAAAUAAGUGGUUGUAGAGAUGUGAUCUGUUUUUGAAUAUUUUCACAACUUUCUUUAAUUGUGAUAGACAUAGUUUUUCAUUUUCUGC